UGGAGAGUUUGAUCCUGGCUCAGGAUGAACGCUAGCGGCAGGCCUAAUACAUGCAAGUCGAACGGUGUAGCAAUACACAGUGGCGCACGGGUGCGUAACACGUAUGCAACCUACCUAUCAUUGGGGGAUAGCCUUUGGAAACGGAGAUUAAUACCGCAUAAGACAGUAACAUGGCAUCAUGUAGCUGUUAAAGCUUUGGCGAUGAUAGAUGGGCAUGCGUCCAAUUAGUUAGUUGGUGAGGUAACGGCUCACCAAGACGAUGAUUGGUAGGGGAUCUGAGAGGAUAAUCCCCCACACUGGCACUGAGAUACGGGCCAGACUCCUACGGGAGGCAGCAGUAGGGAAUAUUGGGCAAUGGACGGAAGUCUGACCCAGCCAUGCCGCGUGCAGGAAGAAGGCGUUAUGCGUUGUAAACUGCUUUUUUAUAGGAAGAAGGAGACCUUGCGAGGUUUGGUGACGGUACUAUAAGAAUAAGCACCGGCUAACUCCGUGCCAGCAGCCGCGGUA
This 507-nucleotide ribosomal RNA is filed under the name Flectobacillus sp. 5P. Its description in RNAcentral is "bacterial SSU rRNA". It matches the Rfam family "Bacterial small subunit ribosomal RNA", at positions 1 to 522 of the family's 1533-position model. Lineage: Bacteria; Pseudomonadati; Bacteroidota; Cytophagia; Cytophagales; Flectobacillaceae. The record is from RNAcentral.